This 435-nucleotide ribosomal RNA is filed under the name Triticum aestivum (bread wheat). RNAcentral's name for it is "partial small subunit ribosomal RNA". The record is from RNAcentral. Lineage: Eukaryota; Viridiplantae; Streptophyta; Magnoliopsida; Poales; Poaceae.
AUGAAAGACAGAUGCUGGACCUCGGACCGUCUUGCACGGAGAGGCCUACCGCAUCAAGCCGCAUGCCCUUUCUGUGAUCAAGAGGAGGAAACGAUCAAUCAUCUUAUGCUCAUGUGUGUGUUCACUAGAACAAUCUGGGCGGCUAUUUGUGUUGCGCCGGAUUCACCAGCUUGGAUCCCAUCUGCCCAAGACUCACUGGUGGAGUGGACGAUUGACAAGCGUGGAUCGAACAAUGUGAGUACGAAGGACCUGCGCACCAUUUUUGCACGUACGUGGUGGGAGUUGUGGAAGCAUAGGAAUGCAAUCAUCUUUGAGGGUGCACGGCCAUCGGUUCUUCAGUUGCUACAAAAGAUUUGUUAUGAGGGUUUGGUUUGGUCCUUUUCCGAGUUACUAAAAGGGAAUGCAACUCCCUUCUUUAGUAGGGUAGAGAAGUGA